UGCACUUUAAUUUUUUUAUAAUAACAACUCAGUAGGAUUGUUCCAAUCCAGCUGGAGAAAGAAGCUUCAGGAGCCUUGCAGAACCAAGUGUCCUCUACAGCUCACCAGGAAGGACUGUAAGGACUCUUCUCAAGUUACAGACUGCAAGGUAUUGCUGGAUCCAGGAGAGGAUGUUUGCAGAGUCUGUAACUUUGCACAUUUCCAUUCUGCCUGAGCCUCCCUUCAGCUCUCUGCGGUUGAGAAGUCAAGAAAAAAGCUGCUGUUGGCAGAAUUUGCUCUUGUGCUGAGAAUUGGCCUGAGGAGCUCAAGGGUGUGUUUUGGUGAGGUUUGCUUCAGACAGAGGCUUGAAAGCAGCUUUUCUCACACCCUGAUGACAACUGGAUGCACCUUACUCUCCCUUAGACCUUUAGAAGUAUUCAGGCUUGUGUGUUUCUGUACAAUCCCUUACAACCUAACAGGAAAGACGAGGGUGAAGUUAUAUGAUACAGUUGAGCUGACCUAACAUCUUGCCCUGCUGUUGAAAGAGGCAGUUCUGCUCCUCCCCACUUCUCACUCCACAGUAUCAUGAUUAUCCCAUUCUCAACCUCCAUUUACUCAGUUUGAUCAUCCUAAUCAGUCUCCUUUAUGGGAUUCUCAGGCAGGACUGAGAAAUUUAGGGUUAUGUCUGACCCCUGAAGUCUGUCUGGUUUGAGCCAGUGACAAUUUUCAAGCAGUUCCCCCAGCUCAUUCUUGCAAGACAAUCUCUUCAUAUGUCUGCAGUGUCAGAUAUUGGAUUUAUUCUGAAAAAAUCCCUACAGUGUUCUGUCCUUUAGAGGAAGAGCAAGCUCCUUGGACUGAGGGUGUGAAGAGCAAAAGCUCACACAAACAGAGAACAGAACAGCUGCUUUCUUUAAAGAUGUGCCCCACAACUGAAAACCCCAGCUGUAAUUCUGAUAUGCAGAGGAGGAAGGUGACAGGGAACAGGAGGAACCAAUGGAUCCUGCCAACAGGAUCCCACCUCAUGAAGGACCCAAAAUGGCUCCAGCAAAAGAUGUAGCCUUGACCAGCUUCUACCAGGCUUCCCUCCUUGUGCCACAGCUUGGAAAGGACUGUGUGUGAGACUGGUGACAUCUACACCAAAAGGGAGCUUCCUUUCCAUGUCUUGGAAAUCAAAAAAUUGCCAUAAGAGGAUUUAUGAGAGAAGAAUGUCCAUAAAGCCUGAUUUGUGAAGUGUUAAAAUGAUGUCCUGGAAAGCCACACAAUGCCAAG
Molecule: long non-coding RNA, 1248 nt
Organism: Vidua macroura (Pin-tailed whydah)
Lineage: Eukaryota; Metazoa; Chordata; Aves; Passeriformes; Viduidae
Exons: 9
Source: RefSeq, a predicted model, not a curated record